AACGAACGCUGGCGGCAUGCCUAACACAUGCAAGUCGAACGAGACCUUCGGGUCUAGUGGCGCACGGGUGCGUAACGCGUGGGAACUUGCCCUUAGGUUCGGAAUCACUCCCCGAAAGGGGUGCUAAUACCGGAUAAUGUCUUAGGACCAAAGAUUUAUCGCCUUUGGAUGGGCCCGCGUUGGAUUGGCCAGUUGGUAGGGUACAAGCCUACCAAGGCGACGAUCCAUAGCUGGUCUGAGAGGAUGAUCAGCCACACUGGGACUGAGACACGGCCCAGACUCCUACGGGAGGCAGCAGUGGGGAAUAUUGGACAAUGAGCGAAAGCCUGAUCCAGCAAUGCCGCGUGAGUGAUGAAGGCCUUAGGGUUGUAAAGCUCUUUUACCCGGGAUGAUAAUGACAGUACCGGGAGAAUAAGCGCCGGCUAACUCCGUG
Molecule: ribosomal RNA, 433 nt
Filed under: uncultured bacterium
Lineage: Bacteria
Description: partial 16S ribosomal RNA
Rfam family: Bacterial small subunit ribosomal RNA
Source: RNAcentral